GUUUGAUCAUGGCUCAGAUUGAACGCUGGCGGCAGGCCUAACACAUGCAAGUCGAGCGGCAUCGGGAAGGUAGCUUGCUAUCUUUGCCGGCGAGCGGCGGACGGGUGAGUAAAGUCUGGGGAUCUGCCUGAUGGAGGGGGAUAACUACUGGAAACGGUAGCUAAUACCGCAUGAUGUUACGCGACCAAAGCGGGGGACCUCCGGGCCUCGCGCCAUCAGAUGAACCCAGAUGGGAUUAGCUAGUAGGAGAGGUAAUGGCUCCCCUAGGCGACGAUCCCUAGCUGGUCUGAGAGGAUAACCAGCCACACUGGAACUGAGAGACGGUCCAGACUCCUACGGGAGGCAGCAGUGGGGAAUAUUGCACAAUGGGCGCAAGCCUGAUGCANCCAUGCCGCGUGU
This 399-nucleotide ribosomal RNA is filed under the name symbiont type-X of Aphis hederae. Its description in RNAcentral is "bacterial SSU rRNA". It matches the Rfam family "Bacterial small subunit ribosomal RNA", at positions 11 to 404 of the family's 1533-position model. Lineage: Bacteria; Pseudomonadati; Pseudomonadota; Gammaproteobacteria; Enterobacterales; Enterobacteriaceae. The record is from RNAcentral.